Molecule: ribosomal RNA, 428 nt
Filed under: uncultured bacterium
Lineage: Bacteria
Description: bacterial SSU rRNA
Rfam family: Bacterial small subunit ribosomal RNA
Source: RNAcentral
GAGUUUGAUCCUGGCUCAGGAUGAACGCUGGCGGCGUGCUUAACACAUGCAAGUCGAGCGAAGCGCUUUGGUUAGAUUCUUCGGAUGAAGACCUUUGUGACUGAGCGGCGGACGGGUGAGUAACGCGUGGGUAACCUGCCUCAUACAGGGGGAUAACAGUUAGAAAUGACUGCUAAUACCGCAUAAGCGCACGGUACCGCAUGGUACAGUGUGAAAAACUCCGGUGGUGUGAGAUGGACCCCGCGUCUGAUUAGAUAGUUGGUGGGUAACGGCCUACCAAGUCAACGAUCAGUAGCCGACCUGAGAGGGUGACCGGCCACAUUGGGACUGAGACACGGCCCAAACUCCUACGGGAGGCAGCAGUGGGGAAUAUUGCACAAUGGGGGAAACCCUGAUGCAGCGACGCCGCGUGAGUGAAGAAGUAUUUC